UACGGAGGGUGCAAGCGUUGUCCGGAUUUAUUGGGCUUAAAGGGUGCGUAGGCGGCUCUUUAAGUCAGUGGUGAAAGCCGACGGCUUAACUGUCGAAAUGCCAUUGAUACUGGGGAGCUUGAGUACAGUAGAGGUAGGCGGAAUUAAUGGUGUAGCGGUGAAAUGCAUAGAUACCAUUAAGAACACCGAUUGCGAAGGCAGCUUACUAUAGUGUAACUGACGCUGAGGCACGAAAGUGUGGGGAUCAAACAGG
This 253-nucleotide ribosomal RNA is filed under the name uncultured bacterium. RNAcentral's name for it is "partial 16S ribosomal RNA". It matches the Rfam family "Bacterial small subunit ribosomal RNA", at positions 524 to 776 of the family's 1533-position model. The record is from RNAcentral.